AAGCAUAUCAAUAAGCGGAGGAAAAGAAACCAACAGGGAUUGCCCUAGUAACGGCGAGUGAAGCGGCAACAGCUCAAAUUUGAAAUCUGGCCCUCGGGUCCGAGUUGUAAUUUGUAGAGGAUGCUUUUGGUGCGGUGCCUUCCGAGUUCCCUGGAACGGGACGCCAUAGAGGGUGAGAGCCCCGUCUGGUUGGACACCAAGCCUCUGUAAAGCUCCUUCGACGAGUCGAGUAGUUUGGGAAUGCUGCUCUAAAUGGGAGGUAUAUGUCUUCUAAAGCUAAAUACCGGCCAGAGACCGAUAGCGCACAAGUAGAGUGAUCGAAAGAUGAAAAGCACUUUGAAAAGAGGGUUAAAUAGUACGUGAAAUUGUUGAAAGGGAAGCGCUUAUGACCAGACUUGAGCCCGGUUAAUCAUCCAGCCUUCUGGCUGGUGCACUUGGCCGGCUCAGGCCAGCAUCAGUUCGGCGCGGGGGAUAAAGGUUUCGGGAAUGUGGCUCCUCCGGGAGUGUUAUAGCCCGUUGCGUAAUACCCUGCGCUGGACUGAGGUUCGCGCAUCUGCAAGGAUGCUGGCGUAAUGGUCAUCAGCGACCCGUCUUGAAACACGGACCAAGGAGUCGUCUUCGUAUGCGAGUGUUCGGGUGUCAAACCCCUACGCGUAAUGAAAGUGAACGCAGGUGAGAGCUUCGGCGCAUCAUCGACCGAUCCUGAUGUUCUCGGAUGGAUUUGAGUAAGAGCAUACGGGGCCGGACCCGAAAGAAGGUGAACUAUGCCUGUAUAGGGUGAAGCCAGAGGAAACUCUGGUGGAGGCUCGCAGCGGUUCUGACGUGCAAAUCGAUCGUCAAAUAUGGGCAUGGGGGCGAAAGACUAAUCGAACCUUCUAGUAGCUGGUUUCCGCCGAAGU
RNAcentral lists this ribosomal RNA (899 nucleotides) under Cosmospora khandalensis. RNAcentral's name for it is "LSU rRNA". It matches the Rfam family "Eukaryotic large subunit ribosomal RNA", at positions 36 to 967 of the family's 3401-position model. Lineage: Eukaryota; Fungi; Ascomycota; Sordariomycetes; Hypocreales; Nectriaceae. The record is from RNAcentral.